RNAcentral lists this long non-coding RNA (639 nucleotides) under Drosophila guanche. Lineage: Eukaryota; Metazoa; Arthropoda; Insecta; Diptera; Drosophilidae. The record is from RNAcentral.
GUGAGGGCAACGACAAUGGAGUGUGCUGAUUAACCAACGACAAGCAAACGAGCACUCACAAUAAGCAGAAGCAACUAGUAACUCUGCCACCCACGAGACCUCCUUAUAGUUACUUCAUGGCUUUGGCUCUCCCCCGCUCAGUCACUCACGCGUUCUUCUGCUCUCUCUCUCUCUCUCUCUCACUCAAUCGCUUCUUUUGCGCUCUUUCUGACGACACACACAUGUGCACAUGCGAUGCGAGCUUUGUGAAUAAAAGUGCAAAUUCAUGUUUAGUUUGACUAAAUCUGUAUAAAUCCAAAGAGCAAAUGCCAGCACAGUCGUCAGUCAGCAGUCAGGAAUCAGCAACGGGAAAGAGCAAGGUAAAUGGAUUCCUGGCUUCUGGUGCUGUGGGUCAAAUGAAAUUAUCAUCCGUCCGCUCCCCCCCCACAGCUCGUACUUAGCCCGAACCAAGACGCGACGCCUACUUGUUGCUCGAAAAAGGCAAUUUUCACGCUCAUUACAAAUUUGCAUAAUUACACCAGACUCUCUCCCCUGUCGGUAAUCCAAAGCGGAGGACACUCAUAGCCUGCAGGGGGAACCCAAAUGAGCUUUUCAUGGCACUCCCGCGUGAAGAGUCGCGACGCUCUAAGCGCCACGCGA